Molecule: ribosomal RNA, 492 nt
Filed under: uncultured bacterium
Lineage: Bacteria
Description: partial 16S ribosomal RNA
Rfam family: Bacterial small subunit ribosomal RNA
Source: RNAcentral
AGUGAACGCUGGCGGUAGGCCUAACACAUGCAAGUCGAACGGCAGCACAGUAAGAGCUUGCUCUUACGGGUGGCGAGUGGCGGACGGGUGAGGAAUACAUCGGAAUCUACUUUUUCGUGGGGGAUAACGUAGGGAAACUUACGCUAAUACCGCAUACGACCUACGGGUGAAAGCAGGGGAUCUUCGGACCUUGCGCGAUUGAAUGAGCCGAUGUCGGAUUAGCUAGUUGGCGGGGUAAAGGCCCACCAAGGCGACGAUCCGUAGCUGGUCUGAGAGGAUGAUCAGGCACACUGGAACUGAGACACGGUCCAGACUCCUACGGGAGGCAGCAGUGGGGAAUAGUGGACAAUGGGCGCAAGCCUGAUCCAGCCAUACCGCGUGGGUGAAGAAGGCCUUCGGAUUGUAAAGCCCUUUUGUUGGGAAAGAAAAGCAGCAGGUUAAUAACCCGCUGGUCAGAAGGUACGCAAAGAAUAAGCACCGGCUAACUUCGUG